CCUACGGGGGGCAGCAGUGAGGAAUAUUGGUCAAUGGGCGCAAGCCUGAACCAGCCAAGCCGCGUGAAGGAAGAAGGCUCUAUGGUUUGUAAACUUCUUUUAUAUGGGCGUAAAGUGAGGAACGAGUUCCUUUAUGAACGUAUCAUACGAAUAAGCAUCGGCGAACUCCGUGCCAGCAGCCGCGGUAAUACGGAGGAUGCGAGCGUUAUCCGGAUUUAUUGGGUUUAAAGGGUGCGUAGGUGGUUAAUUAAGUCAGCGGUGAAAGUUCGUGGCUCAACCAUGAAAUUGCCUUUGAAACUGUUUGACUUGAGUGUAUGUGAGGUAGGCGGAAUGCGUGGUGUAGCGGUGAAAUGCGUAGAGAUAAGGCAGAACACCGAUUGCGAAGGCAGCUUACUAAACUAUAACUGACGCUGAGGCACGAAAGCGUGGGGAGCAAACAGGAUUAGAUACCCGUGUAGUC
RNAcentral lists this ribosomal RNA (460 nucleotides) under uncultured bacterium. RNAcentral's name for it is "partial 16S ribosomal RNA". It matches the Rfam family "Bacterial small subunit ribosomal RNA", at positions 338 to 795 of the family's 1533-position model. The record is from RNAcentral.